CCUACGGGUGGCAGCAGUGGGGGAUAUUGCACAAUGGGGGGAACCCUGAUGCAGCGACGCCGCGUGGGUGAAGGAGUGCUUCGGCAUGUAAAGCCCUAUCGGCAGGGAAGAAGCAAGACGGUACCUGACUAAGAAGCCCCGGCUAACUACGUGCCAGCAGCCGCGGUAAUACGUAGGGGGCGAGCGUUAUCCGGAUUCACUGGGUGUAAAGGGAGCGUAGACGGUGAUGUAAGUCUGGAGUGAAAGGCGGGGGCCCAACCCCCGGACUGCUCUGGAAACUAUGUGACUGGAGUGCAGGAGAGGUGAGCAGAAUUCCUAGUGUAGCGGUGAAAGGCGUAGAUAUUAGGAGGAACACCAGUGGCGAAGGCGGCUCACUGGACUGUAACUGACGUUGAGGCUCGAAAGCGUGGGGAGCAAACAGGAUUAGAUACCCUGGUAGUC
This 441-nucleotide ribosomal RNA is filed under the name uncultured bacterium. Its description in RNAcentral is "partial 16S ribosomal RNA". It matches the Rfam family "Bacterial small subunit ribosomal RNA", at positions 338 to 795 of the family's 1533-position model. The record is from RNAcentral.